This 822-nucleotide ribosomal RNA is filed under the name uncultured eukaryote. Its description in RNAcentral is "partial 18S ribosomal RNA". It matches the Rfam family "Eukaryotic small subunit ribosomal RNA", at positions 601 to 1463 of the family's 1831-position model. The record is from RNAcentral.
AUUUUUAUUUUUUUGCUGUUAAAAGAUCCUCCUUUGGAUUUCUGCUUGGAACGACCGGUCCGCCUCUGGGGGUGUCCUUUGCCUCUCGUUGGCUCUCUCUUGGGGAACGUUUGGCUCCUUUGGGGGUGGCGGAACCCACACUUUCUUUUUAUUGAAAUUAAGUAGUUUCACCCAGGCUUUUGCCUUGACUUGACUUGCUGGAAAGAAAUGAUAGGACCGCUUCCCUACCCUGUUGGUUUGUCGAGAGGAAGUAAUGAUAAAGAUGGAUAGUGAGGGUCGUUCUCACUUAACCGUAAAAGGUGAAAUCCUUUUUAUUUGUUCCGACGGACUACUGACGAGCCCUUUGCCGAGGAUGUUUUCAUUGAUCAUGAACGAAAGUCGGGGGAUCGAGGACCACCAGAUACCGCCCUCCUCCUAACCAUCAACCACGCCGACUACCCAUUGGGGGUCGGUAUUCUUAUGACUCCUUCCCCACCUUACGAGAAAUCAAAUUUUUUGUGCUCUGGGGGGAGUAUGGCGCGAGGCUGUCACUUAAAGAAUUUGAAGGAAGGCACCACCACGAGUGGCGCCUGCGUCUUAUUUGUCUCACAUGGGUAAACUCCCCACGUCCAGACAUGGAAGGAUUGACGAAAGGAUACUCUUUCUUUAUUCUAUGGGGGGGGGGGGGGGGGCCCCUCCUUAGUUGCGGGAAUGGAUCUGGCGGGUUGUUUUCUCAAAAAAGACAUACACGCGCGAAAAAACAGCGGAGAAACUCACCUGCCCCGGACGCUCUGAGAGAGAUUUGCUUUUCUUAUUUCGGGAAUUUAAGGGCGAGACAGGUUC